CGGGUUUCUGUCUCAGCUGUCACGUACGCUGCUUCUUCUGCUAACCGGUGAGCUGCUCCAUCGUCAAGCCAAGACGUCCAAAAAAAAUACUCUACUAAAAAACGGUGCGUGUGUGCGUGCGCGUUUGGAUCUAAAGCGAUUAAACGAGGAGUUGAGGUUAGGUGGUACGGGCGCGUCGCGGGUGGCCGAGCCGUCCGUCCGUUGUUUGUUUGGUUCCGUGAAUAAAGAUUGCGGCAGUUUUGUGCUUUUCGACAAAGCGGAGGCGAUGAGGUGGUGGUGGUAGUCAGGUAGUGUGACGGGCAGUUGGUCAAGAUCAAGGCCGGUAGAACGUUCGCGAGGUAAGAAUCUCACGAAUGUUCCGACUGCCGUUUCAUCUCUUCUUCCUCAUUGCUAAUUACAUGCAUAAUUACGUGCUUAAUCAUAAUUAGUAAUGACUAAUGAGCCGGUGGUUUGUUUCAUCAGUUAAAAUACAAGCAUACGCAUGCUUUAUGUUUUCUUGUUGCAACGUUUGUUUGGAUUGGACUUUUUUAAAAAAUAUAUAUAUAUCCGGUGAUGAUCAGCAUUUUUCUAUUUCUGUUAAAAUUGAUACACUAAACUUUCUAAUUACAGAGAUAUAAAUUAUAUAUAAAGUUUAUAUACAUUAAUGAGGACAUAACUAGCUCGGAUAUAACUAUAACUACCUUAUAUACUAAUCAACAAAAGUUGCAUAUGUUUUAUAUUAGAUUUACUUAUUAUAUAUUUGAACAAACGUUGUUACACAAUGAGUUUCAUGUGUUUUCGUUUACAGGGGUACUUGCUUGGGUGAAGGAAAAUAGACCGAGCGUAAAGCAUACAUGGAUGAUUGAAGAAGUUGAUUAGGGACCAAACCAAGACAUUCUCCAAGUCUUCUUUCAUCUCACAUUCUCACCACGUCACUUUUGGUCCAUAGAAGACAAGAGAUAAAGUUCUACACGUUUUGGAUUCGGAUUCGGGCACAACUAGCUCGGAUAUAACCAUGACUAUCUAAUAUAGAACAUAUACACCUUUGGUUGAUUAAUAUAUAAGAUAGUCAUGGCUAUAUCCCAGCUAGUUGUGUCCUCAUCAUACAUAAACUCUACAUAUAUAAAGUCUACAUAUAGAAACUUUACAUACAUAAAGUCUACAUAUAGAAACUUUACAUACAUAAAAUCUAUAUGUAUAUGUAGAAAGUUUUCAUGAAAUAAUUCAUAUAAAAAUGUUUUUGUUAAAGAAACAAUGAAAAUAAUUAACAAAAAUAGAAAUCUGAAAAAGAAAAACGGUAGUGAAAAAAAAAAGAAAAAGAAAAAAGACCACUUAAGAAGAGGAUAACUGAAAAUUGGAAAGGAAAGAUCAAUACCGCUCCCCCAGUUCCCCCUUCUCCGUACAUCGUGCGUCUUUCAUCCUCCUCGCUCCGACCAAUUCGUGACAUACAUAGUGGGCGAACGUUCGCCCACUAACCUUCUUGGAGGGGGGUGUCCGGGGAAGGGGCCAGGGGUUGGUUUUUCUGUGUACCUUCUUGGAUCGGUUUGCUUUAAAGACCGUCCAUGUAAUUGGACCGGAGAAAACUGGAUGAACCGGUCGGUUUUUAGGAAAACCGGUGAACCGGAACGGUUUUGGCGAACCGGACGGCUCGUGUCAGAAGGGAAAUACAUCCCGCAGAACAGCCACUUGGGCCAUUUCAGCCCAACUAGCCCAAUACUGUAAGGUAUCCUAGGGCUAGCUUUCCUUCUACCUCCCUUCUUUGCCGUUCCCUUGCGCCGCCAUGGCGCAGCACUGCAGCAACCAGCUGCCAUAACUCACAGCUUGCUCUGUCUGGAUUAGACGGUGACUGCGGCAGCUUGAUGAAUGCUUUGCGAUGAUGACCACGGCAUUGGAAACGGCGAGCAUUUGUGCUGCGCCGGCGGAGCAGUGGACGUCACUACUAGAAACAAGAUUUUUCCAAGCGGCCCAAAUCAAUUUUCGCAGGCGGGGGAAGGACCGCCGCUACCAUCUCACUUGCGAAAAUAGACCAUUUUCGCAGUCGGGCCCGUGGCCCGCUUGCGGAAAUCAUCUAAAAAAAUAAAAGAAAAACACGGCUCCCGCCGCCGGCCACAGUCCGGCCACGGCUCUCCUCCGUCCACUGCCCCCACGUUGACCCGAGCCACCGCGUCGGCGCCGUCGUCGCUCGUCGUGGCUCAUCGUGGCCGGUGGCGGAGGGGGCGACGAGGAGAAGCCGGCGGCGCGCGGAGGAGAUCCGUUGUCGUCGCAGCUGGUGGAGGCGGCGAGGAGGGAAGCCGGUGGCGCGCGGAGGAGAGCCGUCGUCACUCGUCGUGGCUCGUCGUGGCCGACGGCGGAGGAGGCGAGGAGGGGAAGCCGGCGGCGCGCGGUGGAGAUCCGUCGUCGUCGCGGCCGACGGAUGGGGCAAGGAGGGAGCCGGCGGAGGCGCUGAGGGAGGAUUUUUCUAAGUGUCUGUGAGAGAGAGAGAGGAGGGGGGAGGGAAUGAGUGGUGGAGGAGAGGAUAAGGAUGGUUGAGGAUAGGAUAAGGAUGAAUUUUUUUUGGUAGGUACGAUUUUUGCAGGCGGGCCACAUAAGGUGCACCUGUGAAAAUCGCUUAAGUGGUCUGCCUGCAAAAAUCUAUUUUCGCAGGCGGACAACGAACUUCACCCCGAUUUAUAUUUUUGUAGGCGGUCAUUUGGCUUCAAGGAUCAUGUCUGACUGUGAAAAAAGGAUCCCACGUCGGAAAAAUGAUUUUUCUAGUAGUGCGUGAGCCGCUCUUCGAGCAACACAAGUCAACAAAGCUCAUUAGCUUAGAACGAUCUGGUAUGCUUCUAGCACUAGUUCAUCAAGAUUUCCUACUGUCUCUACCUUGGACUAUACGAGAUCUAUUUGCUUCUCUCUUUUCUCCCUGGUUGGAAAUCACCUUUGAUCUAUUCGUUGACAAU
Molecule: long non-coding RNA, 2918 nt
Filed under: Oryza sativa (Asian cultivated rice)
Lineage: Eukaryota; Viridiplantae; Streptophyta; Magnoliopsida; Poales; Poaceae
Description: long non-coding RNA (OSAT_LNC001208)
Source: RNAcentral